AUGGGGAUCUGCCCGAUAGAGGGGGAUAACUACUGGAAACGGUGGCUAAUACCGCAUAAUGUCUACGGACCAAAGCAGGGGCUCUUCGGACCUUGCACUAUCGGAUGAACCCAUAUGGGAUUAGCUAGUAGGUGGGGUAAAGGCUCACCUAGGCGACGAUCUCUAGCUGGUCUGAGAGGAUGAUCAGCCACACUGGGACUGAGACACGGCCCAG
RNAcentral lists this ribosomal RNA (214 nucleotides) under uncultured bacterium. Its description in RNAcentral is "partial 16S ribosomal RNA". It matches the Rfam family "Bacterial small subunit ribosomal RNA", at positions 117 to 334 of the family's 1533-position model. The record is from RNAcentral.